Molecule: long non-coding RNA, 1329 nt
Organism: Phragmites australis (common reed)
Lineage: Eukaryota; Viridiplantae; Streptophyta; Magnoliopsida; Poales; Poaceae
Exons: 6
Source: RefSeq, a predicted model, not a curated record
GCCGAGGUUGGAUGGAUGGAUUUUUUCACAUCUUACGCACAUAUUGUAUCUGUUCUGUAUCAGAUCCUUCACCGUGAUAUGGGCACGCGAGCGGCAGGAGGCAAUGACAGCGGUGGAGGAGGAGAUCACGGGGAAGGAGCCGCUGGAUCUGAUACGACUCAGCCUCGACAAGCGCAUCUACGUCAAUUGAUUCAUGCUUCCUUUUGACAAUAAUAGUAAUUACCACCCUCCAAAAUUUAUGCCUGCAAGUAUGGAUGAUGAGGACAAGCGCCAUAAACAAGCUUCAAGGAGAGAUAAAGUGAUAGCACUAAUGGCAACAGAAAGUUCUUACCUUAAAGAGAUAAUAGAUGAUGCUCUUGAUAGACCUGAAGAGGUUUGUCGACUCUGCUACUUGUUCUAUUUUUCAAGCUAAAUGACAUGUUUAUGCAAUAUUAGAGUGGAAGGCAACGAUGGGUGAUGAAAGCAUGGAAUUUGUGAAGUACAUGGGACAGACAGAGCAGCAAGAGAAACAUGAAGAGGAGUUGUUCACUCGAGCUCCAGUAACAAAACAUGAUAAGCAGAUUGAGAAUCCUCACAUCCGAAUCCUUCGGACGACGAUUGGAUCAGCGUCUUCUCUCCUUCAAGUUUCAGCUCUGAAAUCUGCCAGCCUUAAAAUUACGGGGAUCUCCCGCCUUUGCUGUGCACUGCACCGAUAAAGUUCCAGUUUGCAAACUUCAAGAAUGAUGCCUACAAUAAGAGUGGCAAAUGCUCCUUGAGGCUGCAGCUGAUCAACCAGAGAGCGGAUUUCGCAUUUGCACUCUUUUCUGGAGGCCUCUCGGCUCUCCCCCAUUAAAACUGAUUGAUUUACCUGGGAUAGACCAACGAGCUGUUGAUGAUUUCAGGGUAUAUCUUGAGAGAAUGCAUCUAGGAUAAGGUAUCGCAAAUUUCUACAAGUGUCAUAGCCAAAGUGUUAAGUCCAUUGUGUUGUCCUGGACAAUGGAGUCUCAUGGAAACUUUCCAGAAACUACUGUGAGCAGCACUCCGAUGUGUUGUUUUGGGGACCCAAAUGACUUUAUUUAGUGGUAACAUUUUGUGAGAUAGCAUGAUUCGUUAUCAUCAAAAUGGAACUGCCCCCUGAGGAUAUCUGCAAUUUGCCUUCUUUGAGGAGUCGGGACCAAUCACAAUGUCUUUCAUUGCUUAUGGUUAUCCUCUAUUCAUCAUUUUUGUGCUGCUACAUUUUUUCGCUCCAUAUUAUAAGAUCUACAGAGAGCCAUUAAACAAGGCUUGCAUUCGGAAAAUGUAUACAGAGUUUGUUUGAUUCAGAUUUUUAUGCAGAAGACUUUAGAUGUA